Felis catus (domestic cat) is the source of this 610-nucleotide long non-coding RNA. RefSeq lists it as uncharacterized. The transcript is spliced from 4 exons. The record is from RefSeq and is a predicted model, not a curated record. Lineage: Eukaryota; Metazoa; Chordata; Mammalia; Carnivora; Felidae.
GGACAUCAGGCUCUCUGCCAAGCACCGUGGAUAAAUGAUCCCAUUGUAUUCCACACUGUAUGUGGCAUAGCUUCUGUUCCUAUCUCUGCUUUACAGAUGAGGAAACUGAAGCCUGCAGAGGAGAAGGAUUGCCUUGCAGUGCCUGCAAGAGUUUCAUUUGAAUUCACUCUUCUCUUCAGCCUUAGCACUAAGCUGCACUACAUGAAGAGAGAUCCUGAUAAUUUUGAAACAGGAUUGAUCUUCUUUGAAAUGAAAAUCCAAUUUUAAAACUGACUGAAGGCCGAUCCUAAAAUAAAGAAUGUGUAUCGUCAAUCAGCACAUAGCAAACAGCACUACUGUAUUUCUAAUAAUUCAGGCCAAAAGCCAGCGGGGCUGGGGGCCCACAAAAGGAAGGUGAGCCAGGAGCAUCCGAUGGUGGCUUUCCAGAGAGGGUCUGAGGACCAUGUGAAGAAGGUGAAUUGGUGGCCCCCUGGGGGGAGGGAGGUGGUCCACGUGAGGAAGACCUAAGGCCUAGAACCUCAGCUCUGCUUUCACCAGCUGCAUGGCUGUGAGCAAGACACUUUUUCUGAGGCACAGCUUCUCUGUCAAUAAACUAAGUGACUGGCCUACA